Molecule: ribosomal RNA, 437 nt
Filed under: uncultured bacterium
Lineage: Bacteria
Description: bacterial SSU rRNA
Rfam family: Bacterial small subunit ribosomal RNA
Source: RNAcentral
UGGAGGCAGCAGUGGGGAAUUUUGCUCAAUGGGCGAAAGCCUGAAGCAGCAACGCCGCGUGAGGGAUGAAGGCCUUCGGGUUGUAAACCUCUUUUCCCAGGGACGAUGAUGACGGUACCUGGGGAAUAAGCCACGGCUAACUACGUGCCAGCAGCCGCGGUAAUACGUAGGUGGCAAGCGUUGUCCGGAUUUACUGGGCGUAAAGAGCGCGCAGGCGGCCGAGUCAGUCGAAUGUGAAAGCCCCCGGCUCAACUGGGGAGGGUCAUUCGAUACUGCUCGGCUUGAAGAUAGGAGAGGGAAGCGGAAUUUCAGGUGUAGCGGUGAAAUGCGUAGAUAUCUGAAGGAACACCAGUGGCGAAGGCGGCUUUCUGGCCUAUUCUUGACGCUGAGGCGCGAAAGCUAGGGGAGCAAACGGGAUUAGAUACCCCGGUAGUCCG